RNA transcript from Labeo rohita (rohu), 1702 nucleotides. RefSeq lists it as uncharacterized. NCBI's taxonomy places the organism in Eukaryota, Metazoa, Chordata, Actinopteri, Cypriniformes, Cyprinidae. The transcript has 3 exons. The record is from RefSeq and is a predicted model, not a curated record.
GAAAAUUCUGUCAUUAAUUACCUACCCUAAUGUCUUGCCCAAGGUUUUAACCCAUAAUACCUUGUAGCUUCAUAACAUUACGGUUGAACCACUUAUGUCACAUGGACUACUUUAAAGGUGUUCUUACUACCUUUCUGGCAGUGGCGGCUACUGGUCUGUCAAAUAGGGGAAGCUCAUUUUCGGCUAUUACGCUAGGUAACUCUGUAAAAGUGAAACAAGGAAUGUGUGAAAUGUAUGAUGAAAAUCAAGCAAUUUCGCCAAGCAAAUAUAAAGAAAUAGGUUGCAGCAGUUUUUAUUUCGACUGAACUUAAGAAAUCCACGAUGGGACUGAGCGCGAAUAGCUUCAGCGAUUCCGUAUAGUACAAAAUCGCUGUCAGUCAAAAGGAGAUGCAAUCUUUCGACAGACCCUCCAAUCAUGACGCAGAAGCUCGGAGUCCAGGCCAGCCCACUCCUCAUUUGCUCCUCAUUCACCCCCAGAGACGCUGAGCGUCCGUGGGCGGGACAUAAUCGCAGCGUUUAUCCAAUGACCGUCUAUUUUCAAAGCACUGAAAAAAAACGUUCAAAGCAGCCGCAUUGAAGUCAAUGGACGCUGGGCUUCAACGGGGAAAUGCACUGUGACGCUACGGGAAUGUAUGAGAAGAAAAUCAAGUCAGCCGACCUGCUAUAUCUAACUGAUUCUGAACGAACUCGUCUUUGAGAUGAACGUUUUCUAACGCAUUUUUAGUCAAUAAAAUGUUAAUACAAUAGUACAUAAUUUGACCAUUAAUUUUGUGACAUUAUAGGGGAAGCUGAGCUUCCCUUGCAGUCUUAAAGAAAUCGCCACUGCUUUCUGGGCCUUGAACAUGGUAGUUGCGUUGCUGUCUAUCCAGGGUCAAAAUGCUCUCACAUUUCAUCAAUAAUAUCUUAAUUUGUGUUCCAAAGAUGAACGAAGGUCUUACGGGUUUGAAAUGACAUGAGGCUUUCUCUAGCUAUGACUGUGUAAUAAGCACAACAUCACUCUCAACAGCCAUCCAAACUACAAAGUUCCUGAGCUCUGCAACAGUUCCCCAUCUCACAUGGAGUCAGAAUAAGACAAAGUCCUGCUCUGGUUUACCGCUGUGGUAUGAGUGUCUUCGUUGGAUUCUCUCAUCGGUUAUGAUUAUCACCUUAUGUGUAGUGCACAUAUGCUCAAAAUAUACAUCAAGGAGACUUAGGGCUCAAGGCAAACACCCCAAAGACAUCUGAUUGAAAAGCAUAGUUGCAGCUUCAUUACAAGUGUACAUACAUUGCAUUCUUUUUAAUUCAUGUUGACUUCCUGUCAAGUUACUUGCCAUCACUGAAAUUAUAUUCUUUAUUCAAAAGGUGGACAAAAUUCAGCCCCAAACUGCAUCAUUUUAUUCAAUGAUUUUGUAAAUAUUUUAGCUUUUGAUGUGUCUAUUUUUUCUUGAAAAAUAAAAAAGAGAUGUAAGGGAAACAGGUCAAUUUAGCUCAAAGGGAAUUUCAUUAUGAUUCAUAGCGAAUUUAAACAGAAUCUCAUUUUUACGGCUGAACACUCGUCAACCCGCGAUUCAUUGAAUGAGCCGUAUAACAUCAACUCUGCAAUGGAUACUAAAAUCCAAAAUAUAGUGAAAACACAAUUUAUUAGCACGAUAAAAAGACUGUUUAAUGGGGUCAUCAGAUGCCCAUUUUCCACAAGUUGAUAUGAUUCUUUAGGGUCUUAAUG